This 254-nucleotide ribosomal RNA is filed under the name uncultured bacterium. Its description in RNAcentral is "partial 16S ribosomal RNA". It matches the Rfam family "Bacterial small subunit ribosomal RNA", at positions 524 to 776 of the family's 1533-position model. The record is from RNAcentral.
UACGUAGGGUGCGAGCGUUGUCCGGAAUUAUUGGGCGUAAAGAGCUCGUAGGCGGUGUGUCACGUCGGCCGUGAAAACCUGCAGCUUAACUGUGGGCGUGCGGUCGAUACGGGCAUCACUGGAGUUCGGCAGGGGAGACUGGAAUUCCUGGUGUAGCGGUGAAAUGCGCAGAUAUCAGGAGGAACACCGGUGGCGAAGGCGGGUCUCUGGACAGUUCCUGACACUGAGACACGAAGGCCAGGGGAGCAAACGGG